Molecule: ribosomal RNA, 443 nt
Filed under: uncultured bacterium
Lineage: Bacteria
Description: partial 16S ribosomal RNA
Rfam family: Bacterial small subunit ribosomal RNA
Source: RNAcentral
CCUACGGGAGGCAGCAGUGGGGAAUAUUGGGCAAUGGGCGAAAGCCUGACCCAGCAACGUCGCGUGAAGGAAGAAGGCUUUCGGGUUGUAAACUUCUUUUAUCAGGGACGAAGCAAGUGACGGUACCUGAUGAAUAUGCCACGGCUAACUACGUGCCAGCAGCCGCGGUAAUACGUAGGGGGCAAGCGUUAUCCGGAUUUAUUGGGUGUACAGGGCGGGUAGGCGGGAGGGCAAGUCAGUUGUGAAAUCUAGGGGCUCAACCGAUAGGUUGCAGUUGAAACUGUACUUCUUGAGUGCAGGAGAGGCGAGCGGAAUUCCGGGUGUAGCGGUGAAAUGCGUAGAUAUAAGGAAGAACACCAGUGGCGAAGGCAGAUUGCUGGACAGUAACUGACGCUGAGGCGCGAAAGCGUGGGGAGCAAACAGGAUUAGAUACCCUAGUAGUC